RNAcentral lists this ribosomal RNA (328 nucleotides) under uncultured bacterium. RNAcentral's name for it is "bacterial SSU rRNA". It matches the Rfam family "Bacterial small subunit ribosomal RNA", at positions 570 to 898 of the family's 1533-position model. The record is from RNAcentral.
CGUAGGUGGUAGUGAAAGUCUAUGGUGGAAUCUUAGGGCUUAACCCUAAAACUGCCUUGGAAACUUCAUUACUUGAGUCAGUGAGGGGAGGGUAGAAUUCCUGGUGUAGCGGUGAAAUGCGUAGAUAUCAGGAGGAAGGCCGGUGGCGAAGGCGGCCCUCUGGCGCUGAACUGACGCUGAGGCGCGAAAGCGUGGGUAGCAAACAGGAUUAGAUACCCUGGUAGUCCACGCCCUAAACGGUGGGUACUAGGUGUAGGGCUCGUAAGGGUUCUGUGCCGAAGGGAAACCAUUAAGUACCCCGCCUGGGGAGUGCGGCCGCAAGGUUGAA